Molecule: ribosomal RNA, 503 nt
Filed under: uncultured bacterium
Lineage: Bacteria
Description: bacterial SSU rRNA
Rfam family: Bacterial small subunit ribosomal RNA
Source: RNAcentral
GACGAACGCUGGCGGCGUGCUUAACACAUGCAAGUCGAGCGGUAAGGCCCUUUCGGGGGUACGACGAGCGGCGAACGGGUGAGUAACACGUGAGCAACCUACCCUCAACUUCGGGAUAAGCCUCGGAAACGGGGUCGUAAUACCGGAUAUCACUCAUUGCCUCAUGGUUUUGGGUUGAAAGUUCUGGCGGUUGGGGAUGGGCUCGCGGCCUAUCAGCUUGUUGGUGGGGUAAUGGCCUACCAAGGCGUCGACGGGUAGCCGGCCUGAGAGGGCGACCGGCCACACUGGGACUGAGACACGGCCCAGACUCCUACGGGAGGCAGCAGUGGGAAUUGUUCGCAAUGGGCGCAAGCCUGACGACGCAACGCCGCGUGGAGGAUGAAGAUCUUCGGGUCGUAAACUCCUUUCGAUCGAGACGAACGGCCUCCGGGUUAAUACUCCGGAGGAGUGACGGUACCGAGAGAAGAAGCCCCGGCUAACUCCGUGCCAGCCGCCGCGGUAAC